This is a long non-coding RNA of Pleuronectes platessa (European plaice), 1293 nucleotides long. RefSeq lists it as uncharacterized. The record is from RefSeq and is a predicted model, not a curated record. NCBI's taxonomy places the organism in Eukaryota, Metazoa, Chordata, Actinopteri, Pleuronectiformes, Pleuronectidae. The transcript has 3 exons.
GGGAGUGGAGGCAAUCAGGCUCGGGUCGGUUCCCUGCGGGGACUCGACCCAAGAUGAACCCGCAGUGCGAGAGCAUGGCUCCGCGAGGAGUCCACCGGUCAUCCACUGGUCGUCCACCGGAACCGGGCGAGGAGCAGAAACACCGCGGCCCCCGGGAUCAGGUUGAGCCGUUGACGGGAGGAGGCGGAGCUUCGAUUCCUCUGAUUAUGGCUGAACACCCGGAUUCUUCUCCCAGUCCAGAAAUCACACUCUCUGUGGCUUCAUAGUAAACUGACCUGGGCUCAGAAACAAGUAGAGAACUUUACUGACUUCCCAAUGAACCAAUCAGAUGAUCCCAAACGGCCUGAGACCCUGAAUCCUCUUAACUUCACAUGUUCACGUGACUUUAUGACUUUCAAACCUCUGAGGUCAGUGAUUCAGCUUCUGUUCACUCUCCACUUAUUCCCACAAAUGAAAACUCCAUCCCAUCUCCCAGAAGCAGUUUGAGGAUCUGAUGGGAACCAGAGUCAAAGCUCCUCUUCACCUUCAGAGCAUCUCUAACUCCAUCUUCACUCUGAGGAACCAAAGGGUUCAAACCACUGCUCUUCAGACUCUGAGCCUCACGUCCUGUUCACAGUAUCUACAUGUGCACAUCACAGAGUUCCACUGAUUCCUGACUCACUCACACACGUCACACAACCGGCUUCAAACCACAAGUCAAAUUAAAACAGAGGAAAACAUAAAUCACAGCAGGUUUUGACAUCCAGGGGAAACUGAGAAGAUCAUGUGAAAGUUCUCUGUGACUCUGAAGAGCACAUGACCUCACACAGUGACUCAGGAGGAGAGGAGGACGCUGGGUCAUGUUUGGGCUUCAGGAGCUAAUACCAGUAUUUGAUCAUAAUAAAUGUAUGAAUUCUGAAACCUCCCUCACAGCUUUCCUGAGAUAUCACGAGAAACAUCACGAGAACAACACGACGCUGACGCAGAGGCACGAACACUGAUUGAACCUCUCACAACAUUUAAUGAAAUGAGUUUCUAUCAAAAGGCUGAGAACUCAUGAACUCCCAUCAUGCCUCUCUCCUGUUCCUCUUCUGUUGGGUGUGUCUUUUAUUUUGUUGCAUAUUUGUCUCGUUGUGUCUUGAUCACAAAUAUUCUGUAACUGCUCUAAAUCUGAUGUUUCUUAAAUCAAACAAUUUACAUUUUCAUCCCAAGACAAUUUUUUUGUGGUGAAGCCGAAACGUAAACAUCUGGAGGUUUUCGUGUUUGAUGAUUCGAGCGUCUUGGUUGAACUAAUGGCGUUAGCGUGUGGUGUGC